This 127-nucleotide small nucleolar RNA is filed under the name Otolemur garnettii (small-eared galago). The record is from RNAcentral. Lineage: Eukaryota; Metazoa; Chordata; Mammalia; Primates; Galagidae.
AAAACACAGCUUAACUAUAAAAGAACACUAAUCUCAUGUGUUACCUGAGGGGCAAGUUUUCCAAAAAAACUUUCCACAGGGUCUCUGGCCUAAUGAGUAAAGUUUGAGAGUAAAACUUGCCACAAGU